This is a long non-coding RNA of Felis catus (domestic cat), 6777 nucleotides long. RefSeq lists it as uncharacterized. The record is from RefSeq and is a predicted model, not a curated record. The transcript has 3 exons. Lineage: Eukaryota; Metazoa; Chordata; Mammalia; Carnivora; Felidae.
GAAAUCAAUGAAAUAGAAAAAUAGAGAAAAAUAAUGAAACCAAAAGCUGUUUCUUUAAGAAAAUCAGUAAAAUCAAUAACUCUCUUACAGAUGGAUCUGGAGUUAAAGAGAAAUGAAACAGGAAUUGAUAUCAGAAAUGAGAGUGGCUACACCACUAUGGGUCUAACACAUGUUAAUAUAAAAACAGGAAAUAUUAUUAAUAACUUCACACCAACAAAUUCGACACAUUAGGUGAAAUGGAAAAAUUCACUGAAUAUUAAAAACUGCCAGAGCUCAUUCUACAAGAGAUAGGGAGCCUGAAUAUAUCUAUUAAAUAAUUUGAACUUAUAGUUAAAAACCUUCCCACAAAGAAAACAUCACACCCAGAGGACUUCACUGACAAAUUCUACAAAACAUUUAGGGAAGGGGGAGCCUUGCUGCCUCAGUCAGUGGAGCGUGUGACUCCUGAUCUCAGGGUGGUGAGUUCGAGCCCCACAUUGGGUGUAGAGAUUCCUAAAAACAAACAAACAAACAAACAAACAAACAAAAAGAAAAACAAACAAACAUUUGGGGAGGAAACAAAACCCAUUUUACAAAAAUGCUACCAGAAAAGGGAAGAGAAGGAAACACCUCCCAACUCAUUCCGUGAAACCAGCAAGUAUGAAAAGGGAUAACAUAUGGUGAUCAGGUGGGAUUGAGCCCAGAGAUGCAAAUUAACAUUUGAAAAUCCGUUAGUGUAAUUUACCAUAUUAACUGAAAGAAAAGCCGUAAGAUUAUCCCGAUAGAUAUCGAAAAAGCAAUGGACAGAAUCUAAUACCUGUUCCCGAUGGAAAAAAACUCUCAGCAAACUAACCCUGGAAAAGGCUUCUCCGGUCUGAAGAAACAUUACUGUUGACAUCACACUUAAUUAUUAAAGACUAACGCUAAAGCUCGCUCUAAAAUCGGAACAAGGCGGUGGGUUUGCUCUUUCCAUUCUGCUAUUCUACGUUGUACCUGGAGGUUCGAGCCAGACGGAUUGGAAAGAAGUAAGUAAAAUGGCCUUGAUUUGUAAAUGACAUGAUCAUCUAUGUAGAAAAUUCUAUGUAACCUGCAAGAAAAAAGCCACUAGAACUAAUACUAGCGCACUUUCCGAGACGCAAGAUCAACGUAGGCGUGUGCUGAACAGAGCUCCCCACACGGGUGACACGACCACUUUGGAAAACGGUUUAGCAAGCGUUUUCAGAGGUAAGCACACAUCACGUCUAGUCUUGUGAUCUGGUCAUUCUACUCCCAGGUGUUUACCCGACAGAGAAGAAGGCGCGUGUCCGUACAAAGACUGGCGCACGGAUGUGAUAGCCCCAAACUGGAAACCACACAGAUGUCCCACAAGUGAGUGGGCACCCGGACUGCCCCACACCCAUAGGACGGGACCUAGUCAACAGUAGAAUGAAACAGGUGUCUCAAGGGAAAGAAACGUUAGAAGUAAAGAGUGCACGUUGCAUGAUGGCAUCUGUGUAACAUUCUAGAACAGCCAGUGGCUCUGCAGGGACAGGGCAGGAUCCGGGGACGGGGGAGGCGUGGGGACGUCUGGGGGUGAUUGAUGAUGCUGUCUGGACUGUGGUCUUGGAUGUAAAUGUGCCAAAACGUAUCCAAUUGUACACUUUCGAUAGUGCACAUUAUUGGUUCCGUUAUGCUUCAGCAAAGGCGUUGUUUUAAAAGACAACCCAGGUUGACGUGCUGGAAGGACAGAGGAGAGCCCUCCACAGAGCGGUCGGGUCAGGACACGGCUGAGGGGACAGGCCUGCAGCACACAGACGCCGCAUCAGUGUUUGUUGAGUGAGUACAUGAAUGCCCGACUCGGGGACGUAAAUCGUUUUAGACGUCUUAACACGCGCACAACCUCUUUGGUUACGCCUUCCCUCCUGUCACUGCUCUCUCAACUUGAGAGCCUCACUGGAGCUUUCCCUCAGCAGAGCACAGGGCUGGCCUCCUUCCUGCAUCUGUUCUGGAACCACUGUUUGGCCAGACCGGGACCCACUUACUCCUUCCUCUUCGAGGGACACUGGGAGUGCUACCUGUGACUCUCAGCCACAGACGGCGUACGGGGGCGGCCCCACGCACAUCCUUCUGGGAGCGAAGAAGAAAAUCGUAACAGCCAGUUUUCGCACAACGCAGAGGCCAGCACGCUCCCACGGUGCACCUUGAUGGCACCACCCCCGUCUUAGUCUGGCCCUUCAGGGAUCUUGGUUUUCUCGAGGACACUGCCCGGCCGGCCGGCCGGCCGAACUUGGGCAAGUACCCUGCAUGCCCCGGUAAGACCCGUGGUGACCACAGGGUGGGAAAGGCCAGGAGCUUCCAGGAAAACCUUUGGGAUCCGAUGGUCUAGGAGAUGCCGGCACGUCCUGUCUGAUGUAAGGUAAUUCGCCGCGCCCGACAGCACCUGCUUCUGCGAGGCCCAGUGCUCGGUGACACUCUAGACUUGGGGUGUGGCACGCACCAGCACACGCACUCUUCUCUGGCCGCUUUCCUGGGCGUCGGGCAGUGUCGGCAAGAGAAGUCCCUGCAGCUCAUCCAGGCAGGACACAGGCCACUCGCCACUUGGGUGGACGGCCCGUCGGGCCCACAUUGCCGGUGGCAGGUGCCCACAGGAGAAAGCCCUCCAGCCCAGACUCCUAGCGCCCUAGGGCAAGGCCACUUCCUCCUGAUCAAAAUCAGUUAUGCACUCGAGGGGGCGCCUGGGGGGCUCAGCCGGUGGAGCCUCCGCCUUCGGCUCAGGUCAUGAUCUCGCGGUUUGUGAGUUCCAGCCCCGCGUCGGGCUCUGUGCUGACAGCUCGGGGCCUGGAGCCUGCCUCGGAGUCUGUGUCUCCCUCUCUCUCGGCCCCUCCCCAACUCACUCUGUCUCUCAAAAAUAAACAUUGAAAAAAAUUAAUUAUCCACUUGAAAAGCGGCCCUGAGCUGGGGCCAAAGUCUGACCCCAUCUCCCCAGUGGCCGUGUGACCCAAGUGCCCCCUGAGGACCAAGUGCAUGCAGUGUUCCGUCCCGAAGGGAAACUAGUAGGGACUGGCCCAGGAACAGCUGGAAGUCAGCGGUACAGACAGGAAGUGCCGGCCCCCCUUGCUCUCAGCCCACCCGGGGCUUUACCGGGGAGGGGGCGGGGGGGGGGAGGUUCCUGCUGGCUGUUGGGAUACGAGAACGUGCAGACACGGUUGUGGGCAAAGGCGCACACGUACGGUGCCUCAGCGGGCCGAACCCAGCCCACGCACCGGGCCCGGCCCGGCUUCGCACAAGGUAUCGUCCAGGGGGGCGGGUGGCUGGCCAGACUCCUGAAGCCCAAGACGGGAAACUUGAGGACGAGGUCCGGGGAGAAGCACGGAGGGAGGGUGUUGUGUCCCACGGACACACCUGCCUGGAUCUGGAGGUGUCCCCGCACCUGGGACUCAGGCCUCCCUGCCACCCCAGUGCUAUCCCCCCGAGCCCAGGCAGAGAGACUACGUGUGGGCCAGUCACGAGGACUCCCCAGCUCUCGGGAAGCCCAACCACAAAUCCGCAAGGACCAAAGCUACCCGUCAGCGCGUCGGAGAACGGGGAUGCGUGGGCAACCUGGUGGCAGCCUGACAACACGGAAGCUGGUCACGGUGGGGACACCACGACCGGCAGAGGGUACGGCGGUGUCGUCCUGACUGCCCCGGAGCCACAGCCACCUCCAAAGGAGGGACUCCUCCGACCUCCGGCUUGAGCUAGGAGCUCAGGGCUGAGGUGCAAACUCUGUCCGUGUGCUGCCGUUCCACCAAAAGCCAGAACCCAGGGCUUGGGGGGGGGCGGGGGCAGCCUCACUGCCCAGGGAAUCUCAGCUCUUCCAGCUUGAAGGUCCUGGCAUCCAAGGAAGGGCCUGGCCCACCGGGCGACUCAGUCCCCCUCCUGUAGGCCGGGAGCCCAGGGGCUCCAUCGGGUCCUCAGACCACUGAACCAGCAGGUAGAGAAGACGCUGUUUUACUAGUGGGGGAUGGGUGCCAACCACGAGGGGAAAAUGGGGUAGGUGCUCAUUGGGAGUUGAACCGUAUGCCCCCCCCCAAUGGAGAACACGCACAAGCACGGGUGGAGGAGGGGCAGAGAGGGAGACACAGCAUCCGAAGCAGGCUCCAGGCCCCGAGCUGUCAGCACAGAGCCCGACGUGGGGUUUGAACCCACGAACUGCGAGAUCAUGACCUGAGUCGAAGUCGGACGCUCAACCGACCGAGCCACCCAGGCCCCACUAUCCCCCACAAAUUCUUAUGUUGAAGUUCUAACCCCAGGGUCUCAGAACAGAAUUCUAUCUGCAGGUGGGGCCUUUACAGAGGAGACUGCGAUGAGGUCAAUCCAUGUGACUUAUAUCCUUCCAGGCAGGGAACACAAGGACACAGACACGUGCAGGAAGGAGGCAGCUGUGCACGAGCCCAGGAAAGAGGCCUCAAAGGAAGCAACCCUGCCCACACCUUGAUGUCAGACUGGCCUCUGGGGCUGGGAGAGAACGCGUUUCUGCAGUUGGAGCCAUGCGGGACUUUGUCACGCUCUGUCGUGACCACUGAGCUGGCUGAGACAGGUUUCAUGAAAGGACGGGAAGACCAUGCCUAGAACCCGGGGACUGCGCCUUGGGUGACAAUAGCAGUCAGUGGGUAACGGUGCCCCACAGAGACACACGGACCGGGCCCCCCAGGCACUGAGGCACCCACGUGGGGCAAGAGGAACAGGUAAGGACUUUGGGGUUCGGAGGGAUGGACAGUCAUGCUGACUUCCCGCGAUCGGGCAGUCGGGGGCACCUGGUGGCUCUUGGGUUUUGCGCGUGGACAGGGGACCGGCAGGUUUUGGAGAGCCAGAGGGGCUGAGUAGCUCUGGUCUUCCUCUGCCCUUCAGACCUCCCCCCGUCCUGAGCCCAACGUAGCCCCGGAGGGCAGCAGAGGAAGGGAGAUCAGAGCCACCACACCCGCGCUCCUGCUCACAGGGCCCCCUCCCUGGCUGGCUGCGACCCCGGGCUGAAGGUCUCUGCUCCUUGCCAGGUGGCCUCUCCACACCUUUCUGUCUCUGGACCGCCCACAGGACCCCAGGAGGUGCCCCCCACCUUGCAAGGUCAUGGACACGUUGUCAAAGUCGUGGUGGUCUGGCUCGUUCCACGUCUCGAAGUUCCACUUGGAAACGUGGGAGAGUCCGUACCUGUCUGCAGAGUGUCCCCACUGGCACACGUGCCCCCCAGGGGCGAGGCCAAGCCUAUCCCAAGUCCCAGGGAGACGGGCCCACGGUCGGAGGCUUGGAGGUGCUGACGACACCUCAUUCCACGCGGGCCCACUGCACCCUGCCCGGCCUGCUGUCCCCAUCCGGGGGCCCUGGCCCAGGGUUCGUGACAGAGGCCAACAAGGUGGCCGGGUGAUGCGGGAGGAGCCUCCCCAGGAGCACCCCCCCUCUCCCGCUAAGGCCUGUGCCCUGCCCACCAACGUAUCUCCUGGCCAGGAGGGAGACCAGCUCCUUCCACUCAAACACCUGCUGCUUGUCCUCAAAGUCGGUGAAGCGUUUGGAGGGGCUGCCCAUCAGCUCAAAGCCUGCGACACAAGAAGGUGGCUGUCCUGCCGCCCGCCUGCCACACGGCACCCGUGCUCCACCCAGCCUGGGCUCCACCGUGCCGGCACGGAGGCCAGCCUCCCCGGUGCCUCACCAGUGCGGACGCAGAGGAGCCGGGUGGUGGGGAGGGGGCAGGACUGGCAGACGGAGGGUGGGGCUGGCUGCUCACCUGGGAGGAGCUGGUUCUCUCGGAGAAGAUCCAGGAACCCAUCCAGAUGGGUGAAGUUGUAGCUCAGGCCUUGCUCCACUGACCCCCUAUACGAGGACACUCGAUGUCAGCGCAGAGAGAAGUGGGCCCCAGGCUGGAACUGAGGCCACGUGCAUGCAGGCAGGGAGCCUGCAAGGUGCCACACAGGGCUCAGAUCCAGACUCCUCAAGGGUCCCUGUCUUUGGAAAACGCCAACGACGGAAGCCUGCCAGUCAUUGACAGCCUAGUAUGAACUGGUGUGCCUGUGCCUGAAUCCCAUGCCCAAGCCUUUGGGCUCAGGCAUGGCACGAGGCAGGCAGGUCUUUUGGAAAAGAUACAACGGGACGGAGUAGGGGAGGACGAGGCACACUGAAGACAGCUGGCCGUGGACUGGGGAGCCAUGGGAGAAGAGCCUGGUAGGACCUGGUGGGUGCCAUGCCUGUGUCUUGCAUCACCUGGAGGUCAGGGCUCCAGAGUUGUCUCGACAGUACUCCUCUCCCCUCUCCCACACUCCGAGAGGCAACAUGGGCAGUCAGAAAAGGGGGAAGGGCGGCCUCCCCCACCCCCCCACACCCACCCCCCCACACCCACCCCAGACCGGGGCCCAAUUUCCUCCGGGUUCACAUUCUGACAGGGGACAGAAAUCAUCAGGCAACUAUUUGAAUCUUUAAGGACACAUCAGAUGUACCCCGAGGGAGAAGUGACAGGGAGCCAAGGGUCAGGCAGGGAGGGCCUCUCUGAAGUAACAACCAAGCAAUGAGGCAGGCCAGCAAGAAUGCCUCGGGGAACAGACAGGCAGCACGUGCAAAGGUCUUGGGGUAGGAAUAAAGUUGUGGUUGUCAAGCAGCAGGAAGCAUCAAGUGUGCCUGGGGCAGAACAGGGUGCGGGCUGUGACAGGUCACUGGAGGCCUUGUGCCCAUGGUGAGGACGGGACUGACUCACAAGGAAAUGGAGCCCCUUUCAGAGGUCCAAGUGGAGCACUGCCACGACUUUAAGACUUUUUUUUUAAGAGCAGUUUUUAAUAAAUUUUUUUAAAAUGUUUA